Molecule: ribosomal RNA, 402 nt
Filed under: uncultured bacterium
Lineage: Bacteria
Description: bacterial SSU rRNA
Rfam family: Bacterial small subunit ribosomal RNA
Source: RNAcentral
UGAGGAAUAUUGCGCAAUGGGCGAAAGCCUGACGCAGCGACGCCGCGUGGACGAUGAAGGUCUUCGGAUCGUAAAGUCCUUUUCUGCGUGACGAGGAAGGACGGUAGCGCAGGAAUAAGUGUCGGCUAACUACGUGCCAGCAGCCGCGGUAAUACGGAGGGUGCAAGCGUUAUCCGGAAUCACUGGGUUUAAAGGGUGCGUAGGCGGUUGUAUAAGUCAGGGGUGAAAGCACGCAGCUUAACUGUGUAAUUGCCUUUGAUACUGUACGGCUUGAAUAGGGUUGAGGUUGGCGGAAUGUGACAUGUAGCGGUGAAAUGCAUAGAUAUGUCAUAGAACACCGAUUGCGAAGGCAGCUGACUGGGCCUAUAUUGACGCUGAGGCACGAAAGCGUGGGGAGCGAAC